AAGGAGACAACUAGACCACCUGCCCAUGGAGAGACUUCCGGGCUACCAGCUGCGGAGAGUUGCUACUCACUCCAGGCUCUCCUCUGCUGAGAGCUGAGUAGAGUCUGGACUACCAGCUGUGGAAGGCAUGAGAGGUGACAGCGUGCUGGCAGUCCUCACAGCCCUCGCUCGUUCUCGGCACCUCCUCUGCCUGGGCUCCCAAUUUGGCGGCACUUGAGGAGCCCUUCAGCCCGCCGCUGCACUGUGGGAGCCCCUUUCUGGGCUGGCCAAGGCCGGAGCCAGCUCCCUCAGCUUGCGAGGAGGUGUGGAGGGAGAGGCGCGGGCGGGAACCGGGGCUGCGCGCGGUGCUUGCGGGCCAGCGCGAGUUCCGGGUGGGUGUGGGCUUGGCGGACCCCGCACUUGGAGCGGCCGGCCGGCCCCACCGGCCCCGGGCAGUGAGGGGCUUAGCACCUGGGCCAGCAGCUGCUGUGCUCAAUUUCUCUCCGGGCCUUAGCUGCCUUCCCAUGGGGCAGGGCUCGGGACCUGCAGCCCGCCAUGCCUGAGCCUCCCCUCCGUCCGUGGGCUCCUGUGCGGCCCAGCCUCCCCAACGAGUGCCGUCCGUCCCCUGAUCCACGGCGCCCAGUCCCAUCGACCACUCAAGGGAUGAGGAGUGCGGGCGCACGGCACGGGAGUGGAAGGCAGCUACACCUGCAGCCCCGGUGCAGGAUCCACUGGGUGAAGCCAGCUGGGCUCCUGAGUCUGGUGGGGACGUGGAGAACCUUUAUGUCUAGCUAAGGGAUUGUAAAUACACCAAUCAGUGCCCUGUCAAAACGGACCACUCAGCUCUACCAAUCAGCAGGAUGUGGGUGGGGCCAGAUAAGAGAAUAAACGCAGGCUGCCCGAGCCAGCAGUAGCAACCCCCUGGGGUCCCCUUCCACACUGUGGAAGCUUUGUUCUUUCGCUCUUUGCAAUACUUGCUGCUGCUCACUCUCUUUUGGUCCACACUGCCUUUAUGAGCUGUAACACUCACCGGGAACGUCUGCAGCUUCACUCCUGAAGUCAGCGAGACCACGAACCCACUGGAAGGAAGGAACAACUCCAGACGCGCCACCUUAAGAGCUGUAACACUCACCGCGAAGGUCUGCAGCUUCACUCCUGAAGCCAGCGAGACCACGAACCCACAGGGAGGAACGAACAACUCCAGACGCGCCGCCUUAAGAGCUGUAACACUCACCGCGAAGGUCCGCAGCUUCGCUCCUGAGCCAGCAAGACCACGAACCCACCAAAAGGAAGAAACUCCAAACAGAUCUGAACAUCAGAAGGAACAAACUCCGGACACGCCACCUUUAAGAACUGUAACACUCACCUUGAGGGUCGGCAGCUUCAUUCUUGAAGUCAGUGAGACCAAGAACCCACCAAUUCCGGACACAGGGAGCUAGCCACUCCGUGGUUUCUGCUCUGCUGAGAACUGAGCAGACUUUGGGACUACCAGCUCCAGAGAGGAGCUACCCACUGCAGAGUUCCUCCAGGCUGUUCAUUUUUCCUCCCCUGUCCUCUCUUUGCAGAUGGGUAAUCAUGUCUCUGCACCACGGGACACUCCCCUCUGAGGCAUAAAAGUUUAAUUUUUGGCCUGGCACGGUGGCUUAUGCCUGUAAUCCCAGCACUUUGAGAGGCCGAGGCGGGCGGAUCACCUGAGGUCAGUAGUUCGAGACCAGCUUAGCCAACAUAGUGAAACCCAGUCUCUACUAAAAAUACAAAAAUUAGCUGGGCAUGGUGGCACGGGCCUGUAAUGCCAGCUACUCGGGAGGCUGAGGCAAGAGAAUCGCUUGAACCCAGGAGGCGGAGGUUACAGUGAGCCGAGAUCGCGCCACUGCACUCCAGCCUGGGUGCAGUGAGACUGCGGCUCAAAAAAAAAGAAUUCUUACCAGUUGAACCUCUGGCUUCUUUCUCUCUGUCUGUGAAAACAUGGUUGUAGAUUCUCUCUCCUCCAUGACUCCAUGACUUCCCUUUUACUGGGAACCUAUGCAUAGGACUCUGAGAGAGAUCUGUCAUUUUCCCCAAAACCAGGCCCCCUGUCAGCAUGAAGCAGUUAGAUAUACCUCUUCAGAGAUGUGAUUGAUGGCAGCGGCAGCCCAUCUGGACCAGCCACUGCCGUGACGCCAUCAGUGUGAGACGUGUAGCUAGGGCUGUGCACUCCACAGAGCUGGUGGGAGCUGGGAAUAGGUGAAAACCCUGCCUCCUUGUGAGUUGGCAGGACGGGAGCCUCCUGUUCCCUGGCUGCUGUUGUGGCCACCGAGCCGCAGCCCUGGAGCCAGGCAUCCCUGUGCUUGGGGAUCAGAGCGAGCAGGAGCAGAUCCUCUCCCUUCUGGGUGCAGCUGCAGCUGCCCAGCCAUGGCUGUGGUCCCGGAAGUCUCUGUGCUCUUGGGAGCUGGGAGGGCCCUCUGCCUCCUGCCCCUUACGCACUCCAGAGUCUCCUCUCUGUUGAGAGCUAAGCAGACAUCAGGACUACCAGCUGCAGAGAGGAGCUACCCACUGUGGGCUUCGUCUCUGCUGAGAGCUGAACACUCACUGGGACGCCCUGCCUAUGGAAACCAGCUGUUCACUCUGGGUCUCCUCUGAGCUGUUCUGUCGCUCAGUAAAGGUCUUCUUCUGCUUACUCGCCCUCCAUUUGUCUGCCUUACCUCAUUCAUCCUGGACACAGGACAAGAACUUGGGACUUGCCGGUAUGGUGGAGCUAAAAUAGCUGUAACACAAACAGGAUUGAAACAUGCCCCUUGCUCGCCACAUUGUGGAUGACAAGAGGGAGGGAAGAAAGGAGAGAAGAUCUGCGACCCUUCGGCAAACCCAGACUUAGGAGAUCGGAGAGCCAAGACUGUGACACCCUUUCUGGGGCUCUGUGGUUCCUGGCGUCUCCAAGCUUCUGGGCACCUCGGCUUUCCCCGGUGCCAGUCGUGGAAGCUGCUUGUGGUAAGUCUGGUCCAAUAGCCUCACAGUAAGCCAACGUCCAUGCUGGUGCCUGGGGCUUCCCACCCCACUGCAGCUGGCAUGCCUGGCUAGGCACAAUGGCUAGAUCUUGUGCUUGCUUGCUUGCUCACAUACCCAUCACCGCUCUGCACCUUACUCACCCUUACAGGCGUGAGAUUUGGGCCAGUAGUGUGAGCCAAACCCAGCCUGCCAGGCCUGGUGGGUGGAAUGAGCUCAUGGGGCCUGAGCAAAACUUGGGCAAAGGCACCGACAGCCACAGAGGUUUCCGGCUGGUGAAGUGACACAUCAAAUAUCCCGUGACAAUAUCAAUUUUCUAAACACACAUUUAUAAUGCAUAUAUAAUUGGAAAGCUGUACUGGUUCUCAAUAUAAAUCCUAAUUGGAAAACUUAGUUAUAUAAAGAAAUUCAUUGCAUUUCA
This 3382-nucleotide long non-coding RNA is filed under the name Homo sapiens (human). Its description in RNAcentral is "HSALNT0373800". The record is from RNAcentral. Lineage: Eukaryota; Metazoa; Chordata; Mammalia; Primates; Hominidae.